AAAAUGCGGGUGGAGUGAUGGUUCAUUAUCUAACUAUUUCACCGUUAGCUAAAGGUUUAUUUCAUAAAGCAAUAUGUCAAAGUGGUGUCAUGACAGUUCCUUGGGCUUUCACUGAACAAGACGAUGCUAUCAAUAACGGUCUGAUGUUAGCCCAGAAGCUUGGUAAUGCGACUUUUGAUCCGGAAGACGCCUUGAAAUUUCUGAAAGACAUAGACGGAUGAAAAUUGAUAGCAGCGGAGAUUGGCUUAGAUAUUUUGCUUGCAUUUACGCCGACCGUGGAUUCCAAGUCAUCGAAUCCUUUUUUAC
Non-coding RNA from Nylanderia fulva, 306 nucleotides. The record is from RefSeq and is a predicted model, not a curated record. NCBI's taxonomy places the organism in Eukaryota, Metazoa, Arthropoda, Insecta, Hymenoptera, Formicidae.